This is a long non-coding RNA of Triticum dicoccoides, 144 nucleotides long. RefSeq lists it as uncharacterized. Lineage: Eukaryota; Viridiplantae; Streptophyta; Magnoliopsida; Poales; Poaceae. The record is from RefSeq and is a predicted model, not a curated record. The transcript is spliced from 3 exons.
CUCUGACAGGUAAACGGACCAUGUUUUCGGAUUCCUCUCGUCGGGGAUGAUCAAAGGGGGGGCUUGCCUGGUUGUUCAGACGAGACGGAGGGGUCGUCGGUGACGUAGUCAAUCACAAGGGCAUCAGCAUCAUCAAGGGGUCUA